RNAcentral lists this ribosomal RNA (480 nucleotides) under uncultured bacterium. RNAcentral describes it as "partial 16S ribosomal RNA". It matches the Rfam family "Bacterial small subunit ribosomal RNA", at positions 28 to 507 of the family's 1533-position model. The record is from RNAcentral.
GACGAACGCUGGCGGCGUGCUUAACACAUGCAAGUCGAACGAUGAAGAAAAGAAUUGAAGCUUCGGCAGAAAUUCAUUUCGGAUUAGUGGCAGACGGGUGAGUAACGCGUGAGCAACCUACCUCUUACAAAGGGAUAGCCUCGGGAAACCGGGAUUAAUACCAUAUAACAUUGCGACGAAGCAUUUCGAUGCAAUCAAAGCUACGGCGGUAAGAGAUGGGCUCGCGUCCCAUUAACCAGAUGGUGAGGUAACGGCUCACCAUAGUAACGAUGGGUAACCGGCCUGAGAGGGUGAACGGUCACACUGGAACUGAGACACGGUCCAGACUCAUACGGGAGGCAGCAGUGGGGAAUAUUGCACAAUGGAGGGAACUCUGAUGCAGCGACGCCGCGUGAGUGAUGAAGGAAUUCGUUUCGUAAAACUCUGUUCUAUGGGAAGAAAAGGACUGUACCAUAGGAGAAAGCUCCGGCUAAAUACGUG